AUUGAACGCUGGCGGCAGGCCUAACACUUGCAAGUCGAACGAGUGGCGGACGGGUGAGUAAUGUCUUGGAAACUGCCCGAUGGAGGGGGAUAACUACUGGAAACGGUAGCUAAUACCGCAUACCAUCGGAUGUUCCCAGAUGGGAUUAGCUAGUUGGUGGGGUAACGGCUCACCUAGGCGACGAUCCCUAGCUGGUCUGAGAGGAUGACCAGCAACACUGGAACGGAGACACGGUCCAGACUCCGACGGGAGGCAGCAGUGGGGAAUAUUGGACAAUGGGCGCAAGCCUGAUGCAGCAAUGCGGCGUGUAUGAAGAAGGCCUUGGGGUUGUAAAGUACUUUGAGCGAGGAGGCGUUACUCGCAGAAGAAGCACCGGCUAACUCCGUGCCAGCCGCCGCGGUAAUUC
This 406-nucleotide ribosomal RNA is filed under the name uncultured bacterium. RNAcentral describes it as "partial 16S ribosomal RNA". It matches the Rfam family "Bacterial small subunit ribosomal RNA", at positions 30 to 526 of the family's 1533-position model. The record is from RNAcentral.